This is a non-coding RNA of Triticum aestivum (bread wheat), 139 nucleotides long. NCBI's taxonomy places the organism in Eukaryota, Viridiplantae, Streptophyta, Magnoliopsida, Poales, Poaceae. The record is from Rfam.
CCAAUCCAGGACGACGAGUUGAUCUCGUACAUCCUCCAUGGCCUCGACGUCGACUACCAGCCGCUUGUCUCUGCACUCGACGCCCGCGUCACACUCGUCACCCUCGACGAGCUCUUUGCCAUGUUGAGUAACUUUGAUC